RNAcentral lists this ribosomal RNA (474 nucleotides) under uncultured Nitrososphaerota archaeon. RNAcentral describes it as "bacterial SSU rRNA". It matches the Rfam family "Archaeal small subunit ribosomal RNA", at positions 215 to 690 of the family's 1478-position model. The record is from RNAcentral. Lineage: Archaea; Thermoproteati; Nitrososphaerota.
CUGCGGCCUAUCAGUUUGUUGGUGAGGUAAUGGCCCACCAAGACUAUUACAGGUACGGGCUCUGAGAGGAGUAGCCCGGAGAUGGGUACUGAGACACGGACCCAGGCCCUAUGGGGCGCAGCAGGCGAGAAAACUUUGCAAUGUGCGAAAGCACGACAAGGUUAAUCCGAGUGGUUUGUGCUAAACGAACCUUUUGACAGUCCUAGAAACACUGUUGAAUAAGGGGUGGGCAAGUUCUGGUGUCAGCCGCCGCGGUAAAACCAGCACCUCAAGUGGUCAGGAUGAUUAUUGGGCCUAAAGCAUCCGUAGCCGGCUCUGUAAGUUUUCGGUUAAAUCUGUACGCUCAACGUACAGGCUGCCGGGAAUACUGCAGAGCUAGGGAGUGGGAGAGGUAGACGGUACUCGGUAGGAAGGGGUAAAAUCCUUUGAUCUAUUGAUGACCACCUGUGGCGAAGGCGGUCUACCAGAACACGU